This 310-nucleotide long non-coding RNA is filed under the name Manihot esculenta (cassava). RNAcentral describes it as "long non-coding RNA (MESC_LNC010726)". Lineage: Eukaryota; Viridiplantae; Streptophyta; Magnoliopsida; Malpighiales; Euphorbiaceae. The record is from RNAcentral.
CUGAGCUUUCCAAACAACAUUAUUUCUGUUAUGCCACAAAGCCCAACAUAUCAUUAGAAUAAGGGAAGCAUUCUCCGCAGAAGCAGUAAGGAAGGCUAAAGAGAACCACUCCCUAAGAGAGGCAGCGGAGAAUGCAGGCCAACCCAAAGGCGAACUCAACCAGCAACUGCGGGCAAAAGGACACUGAACAAGAAUAUGUAGGAUAGUCUCAGGAGCCUCAUGACACAACGGACACAUCGAAUCAACCGGAACUCUCCUAGACUGAAGUAAAGAGAGGCAAGGAACUACAUUAACUAAAGCACGCCAGCAG